RNAcentral lists this long non-coding RNA (253 nucleotides) under Ananas comosus (pineapple). Its description in RNAcentral is "long non-coding RNA (ACOM_LNC013475)". The record is from RNAcentral. Lineage: Eukaryota; Viridiplantae; Streptophyta; Magnoliopsida; Poales; Bromeliaceae.
UGUGAGAUAGGGUGACUGCCUGACUAGGUGAGGGUCAGAGAGAGAGAGAGAGAGGGAAAAAAAUUGGGGAUUUGAGAAUUUGAAUGUUAUCAUGUUUUAGGGUUAUGUGCAAUAGUAAAAGUCUGAAAGAGAGAGUGUGUUAUGUAAAUUUAGAGUUGGGCUCAAUUGCACAGUUGUACUUGUUGGGUUUAUUUUAUGGGCCAGCAAUAAUGGCCCAAAUUAAAUUAAAGCCUAUAUAUAAUUAAAAUACAUU